This 292-nucleotide ribosomal RNA is filed under the name uncultured Acidobacteriota bacterium. RNAcentral's name for it is "uncultured Acidobacteria bacterium partial 16S ribosomal RNA". The record is from RNAcentral. Lineage: Bacteria; Pseudomonadati; Acidobacteriota.
GGACUACCCGGGUUUCUAAUCCUGUUUGCUCCCCACGCUUUCGCGCAUCAGCGUCAGAACCGGUCCAGGUAGCCGCCUUCGCCACUGGUGUUCCUCCCAAUAUCUACGCAUUUCACCGCUACACUGGGAAUUCCGCUACCCCCUCCCGGCCUCAAGCUCGGCAGUUUCAAAGGCAGUUCCUCAGUUGAGCCGAGGGAUUUCACCUUUGACUUACCAUGCCGCCUACGCGCCCUUUACGCCCAAUAAUUCCGAAUAACGCUCGCCCCCUCCGUAUUACCGCGGCUGCUGGCAC